Long non-coding RNA from Daucus carota subsp. sativus, 465 nucleotides. RefSeq lists it as uncharacterized. The transcript has 3 exons. Lineage: Eukaryota; Viridiplantae; Streptophyta; Magnoliopsida; Apiales; Apiaceae. The record is from RefSeq and is a predicted model, not a curated record.
UCAAACUUAUGCAGGAAGCUUGCUUGCUACUCUUCUUUGAACCGAAGAGCAUAACAAUAGCAUACCUAAUACAAAUUUGAAUAUUCAUCCCCGACCAUUGCUUUUUCGCCAAAACAAAGCAAGCUUCUUUCCGUGAAAAGAUCAGCUUCGAGUGUCAUCAAGCUAUGAACCAGGAAAAUGAUGAUCCAAAUGACCAGUCAUGGCGUUUAUUCACUUCCGAGGACAUGAUAGAUGGUUAUAAAGCGCUGAAAAGACGGAAAAAAGGCACGAAGAUGAACAAGGAUGGUAGACGAUUUUCGAACAAUCAAACGCAUGCACCCCCCACUUCCUCUACUAGAGAAUCGUGUACAAACAAAUAAAAUGCUUAGUCUAUGUAUUUUGGAAUUUUGAAUAUCGACUGUGUUAUGAAUUUUAAUUUGUGUUAUGAACCUAUGUGUUAUUAAUUUAUGAAUAUUAGUUUGUGAU